Molecule: non-coding RNA, 1868 nt
Filed under: Pan troglodytes (chimpanzee)
Lineage: Eukaryota; Metazoa; Chordata; Mammalia; Primates; Hominidae
Source: RNAcentral
AUGAGCAAGCGAAAGUGGCGCGGAUUUCGGGGCGCCCAGCCGGAGCGAGCGCGGCCGCCAGCCGCAAGUCCGCAGCCGUGUCCCGCGCCCCACGCCGGCCUCCCCGGCGGCAGCCGGAGACGAGCGCCAGCACCGGCGGGACAGCAGCAGAUGCGGGCCGAGAGCCGGUCAGGGGCGCAGAGGCGGCGGGGAUCGGCGCGGCGGGGAGCUCACCGCGAAGCUGGAGGCUGCGUCCGCGGGCGCACCAGGAGCUCAGGCAGCGGGCGAUCGAACGCUCUGUGGCGGGCGGUGGACGCUGCUGAAGCUCUGGCGCUGAGCUCACCGCUCCGCCGUCGGUGGGACCAAGCCCAGCAUUUUACAAACCCAGCUCCUUUCUCCAAGGGUCCUCAGAGUGCCCCUCCGUCACCCCCUGCAGGGCGCCGCAGACGAGGCGUUGACCUUGCGCUCGCUCCCCUCGCUGGGGAAGGACACACUCGCUGGCGUCAGCCCGGCCGGCCUGGGAAGUCAGACUAAGGACCCGAACUGCAACCCUCCACACCAGACAGCACAGACCACCCCAAGGCUGCUCAAUCUGCCCAAAGCCAAAAGUAUGUGGGGGAUAUGGGUCCAGGUUGGGGUGCUUGGGAGAGGGCCCUGGGAGAGGGGUUCAGACGGUGCACACUCCAAAGGACUGAGGCGGCGCCACUGUGUUACCAUUUUAUUGAGUGUCUAAGGUAAAGACACCUUUGAAAGAACACUCCCGGCUUCUAUCUGGGAUGGGCAAACCAGCCUGAAGGGUCACCUGCUGGAUCCCUGCCUGCAGGCCCUGUCGUGGGGCAGGUGCAGGGACUCCAAUCCAUGUGCCUCCAGCUCCAACGCUCCCCAAGUCCUGGAGCCUCCCCUGUCACCCCAGUGCCUGACCAGUGAAUGGGUGCUGUCCCCACUACAGAGCUCCCUCUGGUUGAGGCAGAAGCCACUGGCUGGGCCUUUCUAGCCACCUUUCACCCCCCUUGCACACGGGAAGCCCCGCAGGCUCCUGACCGCAAUGGGAUCCUGACGCCGGAGCCCCUUAGGCCCUUUGCUCAGAAGGCCUCUGGUUAUUACCUCAAUUCUGAACAGCCAGGAGGCCUGAGACUGUCACCCACUUUGAUAAAUACAGACUGACAGAAAGGUCAGGCCAUUGGUGCAAGACCCCAUGGCCAGCAGCCUGGGGCGGGGAGAACCCGGGGGUCUCACAGCCCCCAGCAGAGCCCAGCUUUCCUUGGGUUUUUGGGUUCUUCCCCAAUGAUAUUUUCCCUUUUUCCCUCUCUACCCACUUUCUGCCCCCCAUCUUCUCCCCUUUGGCUGCCCGCUCUCUCCCUGCCCCUCUCCCCUUCUUUGCCCUCUUUCCUCUCCCAGGAGCUCCCCUGCCAGGACCUCGGUGCCGUGGAGACUGCGGGGAACCUGCUCUGCCCACACCUGCUCUGGCCCCUGGACGGAAGCACCUGGAGCCAACCACGGAACUCCAGAUCCCAGCUGUGUGACUGAAUCCACGCCAGCCUCUCUGAGCCAAAGCUGCUUGCAGAAGGGGGAGAUCCCAGUUCGAAGACUCCCGCGCAGAGCCUGUGGCCCUCUCUGCCAGGCCUCAGGGUGCCUGAGACACUCACCUCUCUGCCUCUGCAGUUGGCGCUGAGGCUGGGGCUGGCCGCCAGCCUCAGUUCUGGGAGCGCUGGGGUCGCCUGGGCCACAGGCCGCAGCAGCUCACCUCAGGACUGGGCUCUCUGGCCUGCUGGGGCUCAGGCUGUGGGGCAGGCUGGGCAGGGGGCUGAGCUGGCAGCGAUUCAGAGCCCUGGGGCUGGGGGCUGGAAUCCACCUCCUCCCACACAAGCUCGGUGGUGACUCUUCGGCCC